This 486-nucleotide ribosomal RNA is filed under the name uncultured bacterium. RNAcentral's name for it is "partial 16S ribosomal RNA". It matches the Rfam family "Bacterial small subunit ribosomal RNA", at positions 29 to 507 of the family's 1533-position model. The record is from RNAcentral.
AUUGAACGCUGGCGGCAUGCCUUACACAUGCAAGUCGAACGGCAGCACGGGUGCUUGCUCCUGGUGGCGAGUGGCGAACGGGUGAGUAAUACAUCGGAACAUGUCCUGUAGUGGGGGAUAGCCCGGCGAAAGCCGGAUUAAUACCGCAUACGAACUACGGAUGAAAGCGGGGGGCCUUCGGGCCUCGCGCUAUAGGGUUGGCCGAUGGCUGAUUAGCUAGUUGGUGGGGUAAAGGCCUACCAAGGCGACGAUCAGUAGCUGGUCUGAGAGGACGACCAGCCACACGGGGAGUGAGACGCGGCCCAGACUCCUACGGGAGGCAGCAGUGGGGAAUGUUAGGCAAUGGGCGAAAGCCUGAUCCAGCAAUGCCGCGUGUGUGAAGAAGGCCUUCGGGUUGUGAAGCAGUUUUGUCCGGAAAGAAAUCCUUGGCCCUAAUACGGUCGGGGGAUGACGGUACCGGAUGAAUAAGCACCGGCUAACUACGUG